RNAcentral lists this unclassified non-coding RNA (482 nucleotides) under Hevea brasiliensis (rubber tree). Lineage: Eukaryota; Viridiplantae; Streptophyta; Magnoliopsida; Malpighiales; Euphorbiaceae. The record is from RNAcentral.
ACUAUAUACCCAAAGGAACAGAAGCACAAACAUCAGUUGACAUGCUGAUAAACCUCCAAGAAAACUGGAUUACUAAUAAAUAUGGCACCAUGAUUUCAGUGUCCCCGAUAUACUAGAAAAUAUCUCCAGGUCCAAGGGAAGCCACUUAAUACAGGGAAGCAAGUACCUCCAAGAGGGAAGCAACAAACUGCAUUUGCGUUUCUUCAUUGAUUGUCGUGAAGAGAGGGACAUGUACAAAGAGAGAUUUGAUCCCAUGUUGUUCCGCAAACCGGAGAGAAUGAUAGUAGACAUAGUUGCAUACAAAUCGACCAGCAUCAUCAGAAGGAGACACGGCAUAUCCCUUCUUAGCCAAGGCAUUGGAAAUUUCGCUGACGGGGAGAGAACUCUCUCUUGUUCGGGUGAUAAGUCCAUCGGAAGGUACAAUAGGCGCUUUAUUAGGUUUCCAUCCCAGCUCAUCGGGACAACGGAAAGUAGCUUCAUUG